Sinocyclocheilus grahami is the source of this 3928-nucleotide long non-coding RNA. Ensembl lists it as uncharacterized. Lineage: Eukaryota; Metazoa; Chordata; Actinopteri; Cypriniformes; Cyprinidae. The record is from Ensembl.
CUCUAGAGUCCUUUCCACUUCCCCUGCUCCACAUGCAGGGCAGAACAGGCUUCUGAGCCUUGAGGCUGUAGGAUCUUGUGUCUUACUAAAGCUAGUUAAGUUCCUGUAUACGGGGGAAAUGGAGAUCAAGAGUCAGAGCGAAUAUGAGGAAGUAAUGGCUGCUGCCUUCAGACUUGGUCUUAAAAACCUUUUUGAAAAAAAGAGAGUGUGUGUGGAAAGAGGAGUUGCGGAUGUUGGGAGAUGUUGGAGAGAGAUCGGUGUACAGACGGAAGAUGUGAAUAGCCAGGAAGGUGAAACCGUGUCUGAGCCAUUAAAGAUACAGAGCAGUGCUCAUCCAGUACGUUCAGUGCAACCUUGUGGCUUGUUGGAGUCUGAUUUGCCAUCAUUGUCGUUAUUUGAUGAAGCUAGUCCAACUAGAGGUUUUAAUUGCACCAGUAAUGCCACUGUUCCUUCCCACGCUGUCGUGACAGAAGUAUCCCUAUCAAAUCAUCAUAAAACAAAGCAUAAGAAGAGGUGGGAAAUGGCAAAGAGAGAAAGCCAAUUAAAAAAAUUAACUCGGCAACAAAUAAAAAUUUCAGGCAAAAACUUCCGGAAACUUUUAGAGGCAGACAACAGGCAAAAAUGUGCUACUGCUGAACAAAAGGAGGCCAAAUUGGACCAGCUUAAAUUAAAGAUAAAACUGAGGAGGAGCGGAGCUUGCUGGGAAAGCAACCUCCUCGUUUCCGUUCAAGGUGAGAGCGAGAAGCAGCUAGAAGAAGUGAAAGAGCGUGGACUUCGAUCUCAGAGCUGCCCACCUAGUGUACUUCCUGGUCAAAGUCUUGGAACUCUCACACCACCGACAGACCUGACUAUUUCACCGUCUAAUUCUUCCACGCAUGCCUCUUCAGAUAAAUGUCUUCAUACCCCACACCACAUUUCUGUCUCUUCCCCUUUGGAUAUACCAAAAUUAUCUUCAAGCCCUCCCCAAGCAGAUGAAUCUGAUGAACAUAUUGCAAAGAUGUUGGACGAUAUGUUGAUGGGUUUAAACAUCCUGCCAUUGAUGCCAAUAGACAGAAAUCUGGAUGAGCAAGACCAGCUAGGUCUUCUUCAAGAUCCAAAAGGUCAGCAGAGGGCUGCUGAGGCAUCGGCUCAAGGUGCUUGUCUUUAUGUACAAAGCUGCGAGCCAGAGAUGAAGGAAUCUGAUGUUAGCAAAACUGCAGUACCAGUUGGGUCACCAGGACAAAGAGAUGAAGAUCACUCAGGCUUUCAAAAUCAGUCAAGAUCCAAUACAUUUGAGCUCCUGACUCAGUCACCUGGACAGGACGACUUGAACAAUGAUAAGAAUCUGGCAACUGUGGCAAGAAACUCCACUCCUUCACUGGUAGAAGAUUUGUUUUUAACCCCAAAAGCCACAACCGCCCUAGCUUACCUUUCUCCUGCAGCAGGUCAAAUGCCAAGGCUUGGUAUGACCAGCAUACUGGAUGACGGGCCAGAUUUCAAACUACUACGAUGCCUUUCCCCCCUUGAAUCAGAUAAGGGAGACAGUGAUGUUCCUACACAAGAAAUAUCACACAGGCAGGACGUAGAAACGCAAAACCUUCCCUUGUGGCUUUCUGAGUCACCACUGAAAUUGGACUUCCCUCUAAGCUCGAUGAUUGAUUCCUCCUACCCACAUCCACAGCCUGACCUCAUCGCCUGCCAAAAUCGAUCGUGCUCUGACCUUUCAGAAAAUCAAGAAUUGAAGACUUCCUUUUCACAAGAUGAUUUAAUGAGUGGGAGUAGUUCAAACACCAUUCAGUAUGAUGUGAAGGAUGCUAGUGAGCACCCAAAGCAGAGAAGGACGAGAAGACAGAGGAUUGCAACUCACAAGUCAAAAGUGAAUGGGGAUACAGAGUGUCAAAACCUAGAGAAUCAGAAUCAAGUUCAACCCCACAGUGAAAACGUUAAGCCAUCAACUUCUAAUGCACGCCGAGUGAGUACCCGAAUUAUCAAUGCAAACAGAAAAGUAGCUGCAGGUGUGAAGAGAAGAAGAGACAUUUCUUCACCUCUCAGUAAGAAAAUGCCUCGUACCACCAAUAAAAAAUAUGAAGAUGUUUUACCUAAAUCAAAAGACACUGGUAUUGUGAAACGUGGUCGUGGCAGACCCCCAGGAUCCAAAAAUACUUCCGUAGAUCCCCAAAAAUACUUGUGCAACAAUGCAAAGAAAUUGCCUACGUCAGGACAAGAUGAUUGUGAAGUGAAAAAAACUACGACGGACAGUGAGAUUGAACAGGUUAAUAAGCAAGAACCAAAUACACAGCAGGAGAAAGACUCAACAGAAAUGGAAGAAACAGAUGUUAACAGCAAUUUGGCACAGACAACCCCAAAUUCUCACUUAAAAUAUGCUGUUCAGGCGAAGGGACCAAGUAUCCUUGAUCAAAUUUUACAUCAGACUCUUCCAACUGUUGAAAGCCUCGCUUGUAGGAGUUCUCCGAAUAUUGAUCAGCAGCUAACAUCAAGUUUGCGAGACACGUCUUUUCGCCUUCAAAAAUUCCGAGGAGGGAAAAGUGAAGAUGAGAAUAGUAAAUUAGUGGUGAAUAGCAGUGAACUGAUCGAAAAGGGCAUUUGUGGUAAGAAAAAAGCAGAGACUUCUAUGCUGAGAAACGAGAAGGAAGAUAUGGAGGUAUCUGACAACCAAGUAGGGUCACCGUUGUCAUGUGGAGACAUGCCAGAAAACGUAAAAUAUUCGGUUAAAGAUGGAGAAACGGCAACUGAGGUUACAGCCACUGUGUUACAGAAUAGUGAUUCCCAAAAUGAGAUGGGAAAAGACACUCAGGACCAAACGACUGAGAUUUCUGUCCCGUUCACAGCUGAGGAGGAUAUAAUGAAGGAAAUUAUGAUGCCGGCUGAUGAUAUUGAUGGUGCUGAUCAUGCAAUGUCACCUACAAAGAAAGACUGCAUUGUUUCUUCCAACGAAUUGACAGUGAUCGAGGGAAUAGAAAGGAAUUUCCGUAUGAAUCCUGAUAGUACACCAGAUGAACAAAACUCUGAAGCUACAGUUUCUAAUGAGUGUUCAUUUGAGUUGACAUCAGACAUGGACAAAGACGUUCAGGCAGCAAAUAGUGUUAACACCCAGGAGGAUAGCUGGGUGGCCGACUGUUUAGAGAAAGAGGAGGAUUCAGGUGGGAGCAAAGCGGUUCAGAUGAUUGAAGAAACUAUGGAAGGAGAAGAAACUGAAUUUCGGAGGGCAAAUGAAUUUGUAGAGGAAAAUGCUUUGCUUGCUUCAGAUGAUGGGUGUGGGGAAACCACUAAUGGGUUGGAUGAUGAUGAAAUUGAUGUGGAGGGGGACCAAUACAGUGUUGAGAUGAUUGAUGGACAGACCCUUCUGGAAGAAGAUGAAUUGAGUAAAGGACACAUCGCAAGUGCUAAGACUGCAGAUGAUGCAUCAAACAGAGCUCUGAAACUUAGAAACACACAGGAAAUAAUAGGCAGAGAUGCUCCUUCUGUCCAGACUGAAGUAUCCCUUCACAGCCCCAAAGUGUGCAGUGAAGAUAUCUUAACGGUGAUGUCCAAUUCAGAAUCAGGAGAUGACUGCCACUUAGAUGAAGAAGAUAUUGAAGUAGAUGUUGUAGAGGAGUCCGUAGAAGAUCCAUUAGGGCUUUUGGUGGCCAGACAGGUUGUCACACUGCCUGCUGAGGGUCUAAUGGACCAAGAGGAUGAGUUGGAUGCCACUGAAGAGGAGGAGGUAGAUGUCACUGGAGAAGAGACAGAAUGAUUUUUUAUGUUUAUGUUAAGAAUACAUGUUUAGCAUUUUGAAGCCAAUAGCAGAUGUUUGAGCCAAGUUCUUAACCAAAGGUUUAAUAUAUCAAAUGGUGGGAAGAAUUCUCUCUUUUUUUUGUCAAUUUGAUCUUACUUAUGUGAAUUAGCCUGUCAAUUCAUUCAAUUUAUUUUUGAUCGUCUCAUACAUGCU